GGCAGGGGAUGUAUGUGUACCAUAUUUAGAUGAAUGAUUUCUUUUUUAUUUUUGUAUGUUUGUGAGUUAAACUUGUCCAUGACUUGUGCACUUUUGAAUGACAAAGUAUAUUUGUUGUACAAAGUAUUCUAUUAUAUAUAUAUGUAUAUAUAUAUUAAUGUAUAUACAUGUACAUAUAUAUAUAUAUAUAUAUAUAGUAAAAACUUUAGGUCCCGUGUGGCGAACCUCAAGGCUUUCGCCUAGGUGGGGCUAUCCUGAAAUGCCUUGCCUACGCCUUGCCCUUUUAAAACAUUGCUCGGAACUUACAAAUAUUCUUGACCCUGUUUUCUAUUUACCAAAAUCAUUGGAUUAAACCAGUCUGCAUAAAUUGAUUUGUGGUUGGUUUCUAUACUUUGUACCUAUGUUAUUACUUUCUACUGUUACUGUUAUCUUAUAGGGUGUUCUAUGUGCUUUUUAAUAUGUUGAUGUGAAUUUCUUUGACAUAGUAGGAAAUUUAUAUAUUGCCCUGUGUCUCAAAUUUUCUCCAUCCCCUUGUUUUUAGGUGUCCCAAAAUAGGUGCCCAUAUUCUAAGAGCAUUGCAUAAUUAUGUAAAGUGAGAUUAUAUUCACACACCCCAAAUUACUUCUCCCACACCCUUUUAAUUUUUUAAUAUUUUUUUAUCAAGUGUUAGUGGUGUGUAGAAAAUAUUAAAAAAUUAAAAGGGUGUGGGAGAAGUAAUUUGGGGUGUGUGAAUAUAAUCUCUCGUAAGUAAACUUCCAAAUUACUAUUAUUGAUUCAAAAGGGACCUACAAAAUCAAACUAAUAGAGGGUAGUUUUGGAAGAUUGUGAUUAUCAAUAAUGGCAGUAUGUUAUGUUUCAAGGUCCAUGUACCUUUGAUCUCAUCUAGUUCAUGUUGAAGAUUAUCAGUACUGAAAUUGCCAUGUGC
This 925-nucleotide long non-coding RNA is filed under the name Malus domestica (apple). RNAcentral describes it as "long non-coding RNA (MDOM_LNC015925)". Lineage: Eukaryota; Viridiplantae; Streptophyta; Magnoliopsida; Rosales; Rosaceae. The record is from RNAcentral.